Molecule: transfer RNA, 86 nt
Filed under: Methanomethylophilus sp.
Lineage: Archaea; Methanobacteriati; Thermoplasmatota; Thermoplasmata; Methanomassiliicoccales; Methanomethylophilaceae
Also listed under: 1 other name
Description: tRNA-Leu
Rfam family: tRNA
About the family: Transfer RNA (tRNA) molecules are approximately 80 nucleotides in length. Their secondary structure includes four short double-helical elements and three loops (D, anti-codon, and T loops). Further hydrogen bonds mediate the characteristic L-shaped molecular structure. tRNAs have two regions of fundamental functional importance: the anti-codon, which is responsible for specific mRNA codon recognition, and the 3' end, to which the tRNAs corresponding amino acid is attached (by aminoacyl-tRNA synthetases). tRNAs cope with the degeneracy of the genetic code in two manners: having more than one tRNA (with a specific anti-codon) for a particular amino acid; and 'wobble' base-pairing, i.e. permitting non-standard base-pairing at the 3rd anti-codon position.
Source: RNAcentral
GCGGAGGUAGUCGAGCUGGCCAAAGGCGCGGGACUUAAGAUCCCGUCCGUAGAGGUUCAAGGGUUCGAAUCCCUUUCUCCGCACCA